RNAcentral lists this ribosomal RNA (405 nucleotides) under uncultured Bacillota bacterium. RNAcentral's name for it is "uncultured Firmicutes bacterium partial 16S ribosomal RNA". It matches the Rfam family "Bacterial small subunit ribosomal RNA", at positions 355 to 774 of the family's 1533-position model. The record is from RNAcentral. Lineage: Bacteria; Bacillati; Bacillota.
UGGGGAAUAUUGGGCAAUGGGGGAAACCCUGACCCAGCGACGCCGCGUGAGGGAAGAAGGUCUUCGGAUUGUAAACCUUUUUGAUAUGGGAAGAAUAAAGUGACGGUACCAUAAAAACAAGCCACGGCUAACUACGUGCCAGCAGCCGCGGUAAUACGUAGGUGGCGAGCGUUAUCCGGAAUUACUGGGUGUAAAGGGUGUGUAGGCGGGAUUGCAAGUCAGAAGUGAAAACUAUGGGCUCAACCCAUAGCCUGCUUUUAAAACUGCAAUUCUUGAGCGUGUGAGGGGCAGGUAGAAUUCCCAGUGUAGCGGUGAAAUGCGUAGAUAUUGGGAGGAAUACCGGUGGCGAAGGCGACCUGCUGGAACAAGGCUGACGCUGAUACACGAAAGCGUGGGGAGCAAACA